AUGGAGGAUCUCCCAGAGGAACUGUUUGCAGAAUUUCUCAAAAGGAUCACCAGGACAAGUGAUCUGAAUUCUUUUUCCCUUGUGUCGAAGCGGCUCUACAAGAUUGAGGGAGAUCAGAGGGGUGCUAUCCAUAUUGGCUGUGGCCUUUUCCCUGCUACGGAAGCCUUGGCAUCGCUGUGCACCCGAUUCCCUAAUUUGUGUAAAGUGGAAAUCGACUACUCUGGUUGGACGGUAGGCCAUGGCAAUCAGUUGGACAACCAAGGCCUCUCUGUGUUAUCAUCUCACUGCCCCUCGCUGACUAGUCUCGGUUUAAGCUUUUGCUCAUACAUCGAUGACUCUGGUCUUGGUUAUCUAGCCUGUUCCAAGAAACUAGCGUCCCUCAGGUUGACCUCCACACCAAACAUAACUUCAAGAGGGCUUCUCACCGUGGCUGUUCGUUGCAAGAGUCUUUCUGCUCUCCACCUUAUUGACUGCCAUAAACUAGGUAGCAAAGAUUGGUUGGAGUACCUUGGCUCUGUAGGAUCAUUGGAAGAGCUUGUAGUAAAGAAGUGUGAGGGCAUCAGCCAGGAUGACCUCCUGAAGUUUGGCCCAGGAUGGAUAAAUUUACAGAAGUUUGUGUUUGAAAUCAAGAAAAGAUUCUUUCGUAAUGACGGGGCUGGGCCUGGUGAGGGCUAUGAUCCCUCAUACGACCCUCAUAGCCUGAAUAUGUAUGAUUUCAGUUGUGAGAAUAUGAAGGACUUGAGGUUGGCAGGUAUCGAAAUUGCGACAGGAAAAGGACUUCGUUUUCUCUUUGGGAGGUGCAAAGCACUGGAGAAGCUUUGCUUGGAGUAUGUUCGGGGUCUAAAUGACAACGACAUGGUUGCAUUAUCCCAGAGCUGCAACAAUCUUAAAAGCGUCUCACUUUGGCUGGAUCCUCAGAAUUAUUACGAUACUUUCAGGACGGCAUUUACUGAUAACAGCCUUAAGGCUCUAUCUCUCAGUUGCCCUAUGCUUGAGAGUGUUGAUCUCACAUUUACAGGUUGCUCUGCCAUCUACACGUCAGAAAUAGGCUUCACACGGAAGGGCCUAGUGGCUCUCAUUAAGUCUUGCCCGAUUCGUGUUCUCGUGCUAAGGGGUGCCAACUUCUUUAAUGACAAAGGGAUGAAGGCCGUCUCAUCUGCUCCAUUACUGGAGACACUCGAGCUUGUGGAUUGCCAGGCCAUAAGUAAUGCUGGGCUGCGGUUCAUUGUGCGUGCCCCAUGCUUGAUUAAUCUCACGCUCCGGCUCUGUGACCGUGUGACUAAUGCUGGAGUAUCGAAGCUGGCACAUUCACAGAAGUUAGAGUCUCUGAUCAUUGAACGUUGUUCCCGGGUCUCUGAGCAGGCUGUGCGUGGGGCUGCCAGAUCAGUUCAAUACUCCGAGUCUGUACCCCUCAGCGAGCUAGAAAAAUUGUUCACAACUUCGUGCAGUUGA
RNAcentral lists this ribosomal RNA (1452 nucleotides) under Triticum aestivum (bread wheat). Its description in RNAcentral is "partial small subunit ribosomal RNA". Lineage: Eukaryota; Viridiplantae; Streptophyta; Magnoliopsida; Poales; Poaceae. The record is from RNAcentral.